Molecule: transfer RNA, 72 nt
Filed under: Camponotus floridanus (Florida carpenter ant)
Lineage: Eukaryota; Metazoa; Arthropoda; Insecta; Hymenoptera; Formicidae
Description: tRNA-Ala
Rfam family: tRNA
About the family: Transfer RNA (tRNA) molecules are approximately 80 nucleotides in length. Their secondary structure includes four short double-helical elements and three loops (D, anti-codon, and T loops).
Source: RNAcentral
GGCUGAAUAGCUCAGUGGUAAGAGCAGUCGCCCGGCAAGCGAUAGACUCGGGUUCGAUUCCCGAUUCAGCGA